This 253-nucleotide ribosomal RNA is filed under the name uncultured bacterium. Its description in RNAcentral is "partial 16S ribosomal RNA". It matches the Rfam family "Bacterial small subunit ribosomal RNA", at positions 524 to 776 of the family's 1533-position model. The record is from RNAcentral.
UACGUAGGGGGCAAGCGUUGUCCGGAAUCAUUGGGCGUAAAGCGCGUGUAGGCGGCUCAGUAAGUCUGUUCUGAAAGUCCAAGGCUCAACCUUGGAAUGCGGAUGGAUACUGCUGGGCUCGAGUCCGGAAGAGGCGAGUGGAAUUCCUGGUGUAGCGGUGAAAUGCGCAGAUAUCAGGAGGAACACCAAUGGCGAAGGCAGCUCGCUGAGACGUGACUGACGCUGAGACGCGAAAGCGUGGGGAGCAAACAGG